UACCAGCUCUCCGAGUUGUAGGGAUGAUUAUUGGGCUUAAAGCGUCCGUAGCUGGCUUAGCAAGUCUCCUGUUAAAUUCAGCGACCUAAUCGUUGAGCCGCGGGAGAUACUACUAGACUAGGAGGCGGGAGAGGUCGACGGUACUUUCGGGGGUAGGGGUGAAAUCCUAUAAUCCCGGGAGGACCACCAGUGGCGAAGGCUGUCGACUAGAACGCGCUCGACGGUGAGGGACGAAAGCUGGGGGGAGCGAACCGGAUUAGAUACCCGGGUAGUCCCAGCUGUAAACUAUGCGGGCUAGGUGUUGGGGUGGCUACGGGCCACUUCAGUGCCGCAGGAAAGCCAUUAAGCCCGCCGCCUGGGGAGUACGGCCGUAAGGCUGAAACUUAAAGGAAUUGGCGGGGGAGCACCACAAGGCGUGAAGCUUGCGGUUC
Molecule: ribosomal RNA, 431 nt
Filed under: uncultured archaeon
Lineage: Archaea
Description: bacterial SSU rRNA
Rfam family: Archaeal small subunit ribosomal RNA
Source: RNAcentral